AAAUGCACAUUUUGAUUCGCUGUUAUAAGGGGAAAACUAGAAUUUAAAUUUUAUUUUAUGUAAUUUACCACGAAGAGGCGCAAGGACUAGAAAGCUACCCGUCUACUUCACUCAAACACUAAUAUGCAACCCCAAAGCGAUCGGACUCAUGCUGAACAAAUGCCGAACACUUCAAAUGACGAAAUUAUCGCCUGUGGCAUUCCAAAUCCAGCAUUAGAGGAAAGAGUGUUCAGAAAUAUGAGAGAUGCUGCUCACUGGCCACAUAUUCAGAAGGACG
This is a long non-coding RNA of Bactrocera tryoni, 277 nucleotides long. RefSeq lists it as uncharacterized. The record is from RefSeq and is a predicted model, not a curated record. Lineage: Eukaryota; Metazoa; Arthropoda; Insecta; Diptera; Tephritidae. The transcript has 2 exons.